GUCUACGGCCAUACCAACCUGAACGUGCCCAAUCUCGUCUGAUCUCGGAAGCUAAGCAGGGUCGGGCCUGGUUAGUACUUGGAUGGGAAAAAGUGAACGAGUGAGACACGUGAUGCUGGGCU
RNAcentral lists this ribosomal RNA (122 nucleotides) under Myotis davidii. Lineage: Eukaryota; Metazoa; Chordata; Mammalia; Chiroptera; Vespertilionidae. The record is from RNAcentral.